UAGUUGGUGGAGUGAUUUGUCUGGUUAAUUCCGUUAACGAACGAGACCUCAGCCUGCUAAAUAGCCCGGCGAACACUUGUGUUCGAAUUCCAGGCUUCUUAGAGGGACAUUUGGUGCUUAGCCAAAGGAAGUUUGAGGCAAUAACAGGU
This 149-nucleotide ribosomal RNA is filed under the name uncultured eukaryote. RNAcentral's name for it is "partial small subunit ribosomal RNA". It matches the Rfam family "Eukaryotic small subunit ribosomal RNA", at positions 1295 to 1461 of the family's 1831-position model. The record is from RNAcentral.